UGGGGAAUAUUGCACAAUGGGGGAAACCCUGAUGCAGCGACGCCGCGUGAGCGAAGAAGGCCUUCGGGUCGUAAAGCUCUUUUAUGAGGGAAGAUAAUGACGGUACCUCAAGAAAAAGCCCCGGCUAACUACGUGCCAGCAGCCGCGGUAAUACGUAGGGGGCUAGCGUUGUCCGGAAUCACUGGGCGUAAAGGGUUCGCAGGCGGAAUAACAAGUCAGAUGUGAAAGGCAUGGGCUCAACCCAUGUAAGCAUUUGAAAAUGUAAUUCUUGAGAAGUGGAGAGGUAAGUGGAAUUCCUAGUGUAGCGGUGAAAUGCGUAGAUAUUAGGAGGAAUACCUGUGGCGAAGGCGACUUACUGGACACAAAUCUGACGCUGAGGAACGAAAGCGUGGGUAGCAAACAGG
Molecule: ribosomal RNA, 404 nt
Filed under: Verrucomicrobiota bacterium
Lineage: Bacteria; Pseudomonadati; Verrucomicrobiota
Description: Verrucomicrobia bacterium partial 16S ribosomal RNA
Rfam family: Bacterial small subunit ribosomal RNA
Source: RNAcentral